CCUAGACCUGAAGAAAGAACGAGGCCAAUGACGGGAAGGCAGUGAGGUUGGUUACACAGAGAAAAAGACAGUCUCGACCCACCACCACUUAGGCCAGAGGGGAACCUGCUUGGAAAACACCAUAUAUAGCCAACAAGGGACCCACCACUUCACCACCACCUAGGCCAGAGGAUAACCUGCUUGGAAAACACCAUAUAUAGCCAACAAGGGAAAUGAGAUGCAUGUACUGUAGCACCUACUGCCUGACAAGCUUCUGCUCCUUAGAGCACCACCUCUCACCCACUACNNN
RNAcentral lists this long non-coding RNA (289 nucleotides) under Manihot esculenta (cassava). Its description in RNAcentral is "long non-coding RNA (MESC_LNC013087)". Lineage: Eukaryota; Viridiplantae; Streptophyta; Magnoliopsida; Malpighiales; Euphorbiaceae. The record is from RNAcentral.